Oryctolagus cuniculus (rabbit) is the source of this 3577-nucleotide non-coding RNA. The record is from RefSeq and is a predicted model, not a curated record. NCBI's taxonomy places the organism in Eukaryota, Metazoa, Chordata, Mammalia, Lagomorpha, Leporidae.
CGGUUGCCUUGGCAACAGCCGUCCUUUCUUCCGGAGCGCCAAGCUGAAGAAAACCAGAUGACCCAACGUGGUGGAAGUUAGAACCUUGCGCCGCCGGCAGGCGCAGGGUCCCGAGAGGGGUGGAGAGAUACACAUUAAACGAAUCUGUUCCUUGGGACCGCUGAGCCAUUAGUGUGUGAGACUGAAUUGCAAAUAGAAGUCUGAGAUUCUGUGUGGAGAGUUCCAUGUGACAAAGAACUGAAGGAGGCCAACCAACAUCUCAUGAAAAACUGGCUUCAAUCCAACAUCCCUGUGAUCCGGAGGAGGAUGGUGGCUGGAAGAUCCAAAUCCUUCUCUCUGCUCUUCAAGUCUGCUUCUGGGAUCUCUUCUCAAGGCCCCCUGUGGCAGGAGCUUCAGUCAUCAAGGGGGCAUUCCAGGCAACAGGAAGCAGGAAGCAGGGAAGGUGAACAAAACACAUCACAAUUUCAAUGUAAAUUGAAGCCCUGCUAUUCAUGGGUAGUUGGAGAUGGAAACUGGAAGCCAGCUAGAAAUCUCUAAGAGCCUCUUGAAGAAGUGCCUUUUCUCUUCUUCCUUCAUGUGCUUUAAAAUGUGCUAUGAACACAUACAACCAUAAAUGUAGUAAAAGCAUUCACUGAUAAUCCAUAGGGUGAGAUGACUCUAGUGAAAAUAGACAAAGAAAGAGAAGUCCUGAUCUGAUAAAAAGUCCUGUUGGUGGUGGUGAAAAUUCCUGGAAAAAUUCCAAAGGAUGGUAAUCCAUAUUUUAUAGCUGUUACUGUAUCAGAAAUGGUAAUCAAAAUCUUUGUGUAAGAAGGGGAAUGGAUAAAUAUACAAUUAAACUUCAGCUUCAGUUGGAAGAUGAUUAUUGCCCCAAACCAACCCAAAGGCAAAAAGAUUUUUAGAAAAUGUGAAUCCAGGGGCCGGUUCUGUGGCAUAGCAGGUAAGGCCUCCACCUGCAGUGCCAGCAACCCAUAUGUGUGCCAGUUGAAGUCCCCGCUACUCUACUUCCAAUCCAACUCUCUGCUAUGGCCUGGGAAAGUAGUAGAAGAUGGGCCAAGUCCUUGGGCACCUGCACCCACGUGGGAGACCAGGAAGAAGCUCCCAGCUCCUGGCUUCAGAUCGGCAUAGCUCUGGCUGUUGUGGCCAUCUGGGGAGUGAACCAGCAGAUGGAAGACCUCUUUCUCUGUCUCUGCCUCUCUAUAACUCUGCCUUUCAAAUAAAUAAAUAAAUAAACAAACAAAUAAAUAAAAUAUUUUUUUUAAAAAAAGACUAUAAAAAUGUUUUUAAAAAAAGAAAAUGUGAAUCCAUUCCUAGACAAUAUAUCCAAAAAUGUUAGAAUAAAAAAGAAUUUUCCUUUAUAUUCUGACACCUACGACUAUAGCUAUCACUAGAGACAUAAACCCUGGCAGUUUUAUUUGAAGUGAGAGAGAAUUAGGUGCUGAUGUUUAUUUUUAUAGAACAGGGAGAUAGGGAUCUAGAAAAUAAAGCAACACCUGUGUGUUCCUACCACUAGGUCUGUCUGAGGGAUAAGAAAUGGGAGGGAGGGAAAUAGGGGCGGUGAAUGAUCCUUAUCAAUCCCAAGGCAUCCUUUUAUGAUCCUGCGUUUUCUGUGAAAUCUGCAUUUGUCUGAGAGUGUCUCUCCUUAAAUAUUUUUGGGUAUGAGCUUCCAGAUUCCUUUUCAAAAUCAUGUUUACAGCGAUCAGCCAGAUUUCAAUGAAGGCCUUUGCUUUAUGUAAAGGGUAAAGUAGAGCUUAAAUGAAUAUAAGGUAAUUUUUUUUAUUUUUCAUGAAGAAAACAAAAAGUCCCACCAUUGUCAUAGCAUAACUAAAGUAAUGUGAAAGUUUUUUUAAUCUUUUGUGCGACAUAAAUUAGGGAAAUUCAAUAUGCUAUUAAGAAGGGGUUUAUUAAAUAAGAGCUUCCAGGAGGGAAAAGUGUGACUCUUUUCCAUGUGCCACUGAUAAUUUUAAGACAUUUUGUUUUGGAUCUCUGCCUAUCUCAGUGUUUUACUUGAUAACAAACCUCACUGAGUCAGUUCUUGGCAAUUUCAUAACAAUGCAUUUCAUAUUUACAUCCAAGAUCCAUAAACCUAAUUAUCUCUUAUGUUAAUGUGAAAAGUAAUGAUAAUAAUGAUGCCAAUGACAUUUAGUUCUUGGCUUAGAUAUCCUAUGCAUAUGUUUCUUAUUUACUUAACAGUAAUGGACAAGUGCACAAGUCAUCAGAGUGACCUCCUUCCAUAGAGCUAUUCGGAGACUCAGAAGCUCUGCCAUCCUCAACAAAUGGCUCCCCAGGUCACUGUGGGGGUCAUUUCUGUCCCAGUCAGUCAGGGGAUGAGUAUGGAGUAGCACACAGGGGAGGGUUUUCUAUGUCAAAUGCUAUUUGCUGGAGUCCAGAUGCGGCUAAUAUAAAGCUGAUCCUGACUGUUUUUUCUUCAUAUUUUUCUAUUAUUCCAAAAAGAUGGAGUAUCCCUGAAGUUAGAUGCAAUUAUGGAUAAUUUAUUCAUAAUUGAAAAGAGCUUUUCAAUUUUAGAAGGUUAGAGAGGAAAAUGGAUAUGAUUUAAGUUUAUAGAUUUAAUGCAAGCAAAAAGAAGUUGACUAAAUCACAGACCACAGAUGAGGAUGCUGUCUUUGAGGACUGAAAGUGUUAAUUAGAGCAUGUAAAAGCAAUAGAGUACUAUUUUGGAGUAAAUAUAAGUGUUUUAACUACUAUUGAUUAAAACUAUGUAACAACGGGCCGGCUCAAUAGGCUAAUCCUCCACCUGCGGCGCCGGCACCCAGGGUUCUAGUCCCGGUUGGGGCACCGGAUUCUGUCCCAGUUGCCCCUCUUCCAGCCCAGCUCUCUGCUGUGGCCCGGGAAGGCAGUAGAGGAUGGCCCAAGUCCUUGGGCCCUGUACCCGCAUGGAGACCAGGAGAAACACCUGGCUCCUGGCUUCGUAUCAGCACUGUGCGCCGGCCACAGAAGCCAUUGCGGGGUGGACCAACGGAAAAGGAAGACCUUUCUCUCUGUCUCUCUCUCUCUCUCCACUCUGCCUGUCAAAAACAAACAAACAAACAAAAACAAAACAAAACAAAACAAACCACAAAAGAAACAAAAAACUACGUAACAGGGACUUACAUAGCUUGAUUUUAUUUGAUCUUUACAAUGACUGUUCAAGAUGGCUUAGUGUGGUGGUUAAAUUCACAGGCUCUAGGGCCAAACUGCCUGGGCUUGAAUUUCCACUUAUUAGCUGGAAAAUGUUGGUCAACCAUUUAACCAUUCUCUGAUUCAGUUUCUUUAUAAGAUGGUCAACCAUUUAACCAUUCUCUGAUUCAGUUUCUUUAUAAGAUGGAGACAGUAAUAGCAACUGAAUUCAUAGAAUUAAUGUGAAUAUUAAUGUAUUAGUAGCAUAAAACCCUUAGAGGCAUGCAUGGUGUAUAAUCAGUUUUCAUUAUUAUUAAUUCUCCAUUUACAUAUUAAGAUAAUGUAUUUUAGAAAGGGUCAGACACAUUGCCAAUUCACACAGCUACUAAUAGAUAGAACUGGCUGUGAAAAGGUAUAUCUAUCCAAAUCAGAAUGCCUGUACUUCAUACUAUAGCAGGUCUAA